This is a non-coding RNA of Podarcis lilfordi (Lilford's wall lizard), 76 nucleotides long. NCBI's taxonomy places the organism in Eukaryota, Metazoa, Chordata, Lepidosauria, Squamata, Lacertidae. The record is from the annotation of a GenBank genome assembly.
GUCCAGGAUAGCUCAGGUUGGUAGAGCAUGAGACUCUUAAAGCUCAGGGUUAUGGCUUUGAGCCCUAUGUUGGGCA